Molecule: unclassified non-coding RNA, 331 nt
Filed under: soil metagenome
Description: partial contains 5.8S ribosomal RNA, internal transcribed spacer 2, and large subunit ribosomal RNA
Rfam family: 5.8S ribosomal RNA (bases 1-120)
Source: RNAcentral
GAUGAAGAACGCAGCGAAAUGCGAUAAGUAAUGUGAAUUGCAGAAUUCAGUGAAUCAUCGAAUCUUUGAACGCACAUUGCGCCCCCUGGUAUUCCGGGGGGCAUGCCUGUUCGAGCGUCAUUUCACCACUCAAGCCUCGCUUGGUAUUGGGCAUCGCGGUCCGCCGCGCGCCUCAAAUCGACCGGCUGGGUCUUCUGUCCCCUAAGCGUUGUGGAAACUAUUCGCUAAAGGGUGUUCGGGAGGCUACGCCGUAAAACAACCCCAUUUCUAAGGUUGACCUCGGAUCAGGUAGGGAUACCCGCUGAACUUAAGCAUAUCAAUAAGCGGAGGA